RNAcentral lists this ribosomal RNA (253 nucleotides) under uncultured bacterium. RNAcentral's name for it is "partial 16S ribosomal RNA". It matches the Rfam family "Bacterial small subunit ribosomal RNA", at positions 524 to 776 of the family's 1533-position model. The record is from RNAcentral.
UACGAAGGGUGCAAACGUUGCUCGGAAUUAUUGGGCGUAAAGCGCGUGUAGGCGGCUUUGCAAGUCGGGUGUGAAAGCCCUCGGCUCAACCGAGGAAGUGCGCCCGAAACUGCAGAGCUUGAGUACCGGAGAGGAUGGCGGAAUUCCCCAAGUAGAGGUGAAAUUCGUAGAUAUGGGGAGGAACACCGGUGGCGAAGGCGGCCAUCUGGACGGAUACUGACGCUGAGACGCGAAAGCGUGGGGAGCAAACAGG